This 422-nucleotide ribosomal RNA is filed under the name uncultured prokaryote. RNAcentral's name for it is "bacterial SSU rRNA". It matches the Rfam family "Bacterial small subunit ribosomal RNA", at positions 355 to 774 of the family's 1533-position model. The record is from RNAcentral.
UAAGGAAUAUUGGUCAAUGGGCGCAAGCCUGAACCAGCCAUGCCGCGUGCAGGAAGACGGCCCUAUGGGUUGUAAACUGCUUUUGUCAGGGAAUAAACCUUUGUACGAGUACAGAGCUGAAGGUACCUGAAGAAUAAGCAUCGGCUAACUCCGUGCCAGCAGCCGCGGUAAUACGGAGGAUGCAAGCGUUAUCCGGAUUCAUUGGGUUUAAAGGGUGCGCAGGCGGAUUGGUAAGUCAGGGGUGAAAUCCCACAGCUUAACUGUGUAACUGCCGUUGAUACUGUCAGGCUAGAGUAUAGUUGAAGUUGGCGGAAUGUGUCAUGUAGCGGUGAAAUGCUUAGAUAUGACACAGAACACCGAUGGCGAAGGCAGCUAGCUAAGCUAUAACUGACGCUCAUGCACGAAAGCGUGGGGAUCAAACA